Molecule: long non-coding RNA, 1096 nt
Organism: Zeugodacus cucurbitae (melon fly)
Lineage: Eukaryota; Metazoa; Arthropoda; Insecta; Diptera; Tephritidae
Exons: 2
Source: RefSeq, a predicted model, not a curated record
UAUAAAAUUUAACUGCAAGUAUAUUGUCUGAGAGAGCUUUUUAAAAACACUUAACUAAUGUGAAUUUAGAGCGGCGUUAAUUGUACGCUAGUCUAGUGACUACUAUGUGGUGGAUUAUUGGGUAUCUGAUGAAUUCACUCUCUGCUGUGUAAUUCAUUGUGAGACCUGUUAUUUUUUCGAUGUGCUUACGUAGUGACUUUGUCUUUGCAUAUGUAUUUGCGCACUUCGGAAUUGCGUCGCAAUUUUUCUUAGUGUUUAUACCUCUUUCUCACUUAAAUGUUCACAUCAGUACAAACGGUGAUUGCAUUGCAUUUGCCAUUGUCAAAUCGUCACAAAGGCUGCAAGAAGAGCAUUUUUUCAGUUACGUGUUGUUAAGCUUCAACGAAACGUAAAAUAACUUUUUAUAACAAUAAAAAAAUAAAUAGUUAAUAAUGCAACAAGUUGCAACAACCUGCGUCUAAGGUCAAUAAUGUCGAAUUGCAGAGUAUAAUUUCGUGGUAAAGGUGUUUCUUAGAUUUGUGGAGAUUAUUAUUAAGCUCAUAAUGACGUUAAUCGAAAACAUUUAAACGGACAGACAUCCGGAUUUCAACUCUACUCAUCAACCUGAUCGCUUUGGGAUCAAUUUCCUUAUGGGUUAACAUCAACUUCCAAGUUGGCGACAUAAUUGGAGUUCAAGUGAAAACAUGGCUGAGCCCAUGACAUUAAAAACAAUGUCACGGCACAGAUUUGACUCUAUACAAUGAUUUUUUCAUUAAUCUAAAAUCCUAGAAAACAGUAAAGAUGGACAUUUCAUAAUACAUCCACUGGUUGAUGCAUUAUACGGUAUAUAUCAUGGAACAAGGAAAUCAGCAGUAGACGCAUCUAUGAAUAUUUUUAAGAUUAGGGGCGCCAUCAAACAAUAUUGUUCUAUCAAAAUUUAAGGAGUCUAUUAAUUAUUGCAUUUGUUGGAAUAGAUGAAGUUGUUGAAGAAAAUUACGAAGGAUUUGGUCUUGGGGAAAGAGUGGUUUUGUCCCUCACACAAUCAGGAUGGAGCAAGAAAAAGUACCUGUACUUCGACAAUUAUUUACACCUGUAAGGCUCCUAUAGUUUCUCCAAA